AUGGAGGCGGAGGUGCAAGCGCGCGAGGAGCAAGAGGAGGAGGAGGUGGCGUGCGAGUGCUGCGGGUUCACGGAGGAGUGCACCGCACCGUACAUCGCCGGCGUGCGCGCGCGGUACGGCGGGAGGUGGAUCUGCGGGCUCUGCGGGGACGCCGUGGCCGAGGAGAUGUGCAGGGCCUCGCCGCCGGUGUCGCCCGCGGAGGCGCUCGACCGCCACGCCUGCGUGUGCGGCGAGGGCCGCCGCGCGUCCGCGUCCGCUCCGCCGUCGCCGGGCGACGAGCUCAUCGCGGCCCUGCGGCUCCUGCUCCGCCGCAGACUGGGCUCGCCGUCGCCGCCGAGGCUGGUCCGCUCCACGCCGAGCAGCCCGAGGCGCGACGCCGUCGCCCCCGCCGCGGCCGUGGGCGCCGGGCCCGGCGCCGGCGGCCCGCUCGCGCGCACCGAGAGCUGCUUCGCCGCGCUCGUGGAGUAG
RNAcentral lists this ribosomal RNA (468 nucleotides) under Triticum aestivum (bread wheat). RNAcentral's name for it is "partial small subunit ribosomal RNA". Lineage: Eukaryota; Viridiplantae; Streptophyta; Magnoliopsida; Poales; Poaceae. The record is from RNAcentral.